RNAcentral lists this ribosomal RNA (1132 nucleotides) under Clostridioides difficile. Its description in RNAcentral is "partial 23S ribosomal RNA". It matches the Rfam family "Bacterial large subunit ribosomal RNA", at positions 1196 to 2344 of the family's 2925-position model. The record is from RNAcentral. Lineage: Bacteria; Bacillati; Bacillota; Clostridia; Peptostreptococcales; Peptostreptococcaceae.
GAAGCUACGGCAUCAGUAAUGAUGGGUAGGGGAGCUUCCCAUACGGGUUGAAGCAUGACCGUAAGGACAUGUGGACAGUAUGGGAGUGAGAAUGUUGGCAUGAGUAGCGAGAUGUGGGUGAGAAUCCCACAGGCCGUAAACCCAAGGUUUCCAGGGGAAGGUUCGUCCGCCCUGGGUUAGUCGGGACCUAAGCUGAGGCCGAAAGGCGUAGGUGAUGGACAACAGGUUGAUAUUCCUGUACUACCGAUAACCGUUUGAGAGAAGGGAUGACACAGUAGGAUAAGCUAAGCACACUGUUGGUUAUGUGUGCCCAAGCAUUGAGGCAGUCAAAGUAGGCAAAUCCGCUUUGAUAAUGCUGGGAUGUGAUGGGGAGCGAAAUUUAGUAGCGAAGUAGCUGAUUUCACACUGUCAAGAAAAGUCUCUAUCGAGGUUAAAGGUACCCGUACCGCAAACCGACACAGGUGGGUGAGGAGAGUAUCCUAAGGCCAGCGAGAGAACUGUUGUUAAGGAACUCGGCAAAAUGACCCCGUAACUUAGGGAUAAGGGGUGCCACCAUCAGGUGGCCGCAGAGAAUAGGCCCAAGCGACUGUUUACCAAAAACAUAGGUUUCUGCUAAGUCGCAAGACGAUGUAUAGGAGCUGACGCCUGCCCGGUGCUGGAAGGUUAAGGGGAUCUGUUAGAGCAAUCGAAGCAGUGAACUUAAGCCCCAGUAAACGGCGGCCGUAACUAUAACGGUCCUAAGGUAGCGAAAUUCCUUGUCGGGUAAGUUCCGACCCGCACGAAAGGCGUAACGAUUUGGGCACUGUCUCAACAACAGACUCGGUGAAAUUGUAAUUCCGGUGAAGAUGCCGGAUACCUGCGACAGGACGGAAAGACCCCAUGGAGCUUUACUGUAGCUUGACAUUGGGUCUUGGUACUACAUGUACAGGAUAGGUGGGAGGCUUUGAAACCAGGACGCCAGUUUUGGCGGAGCCAUCCUUGGGAUACCACCCUUGUAGUACUGGGACUCUAACCAUAGGCCAUGAAUCUGGUCUUGGGACACUGUCAGGUGGGCAGUUUGACUGGGGCGGUCGCCUCCCAAAAGGUAACGGAGGCGCUCAAAGGUUCUCUCAGUACGGUCGGAAAUCGUACG